CCCAGGCGUCGAGCGGCGGACGGGUGAGUAAUACUUAGGAAUCUGCCCAGUAGUGGGGGAUAGCUCGGGGAAACUCGAAUUAAUACCGCAUACACCCUACGGGGAAAAGGGGGCGCUUGCGCUCUCGCUAUUGGAUGAGCCUAAGUCGGAUUAGCUAGUUGGUGGGGUAAAGGCCUACCAAGGCGACGAUCUGUAGCUGGUCUGAGAGGAUGAUCAGCCACACCGGGACUGAGACACGGCCCGGACUCCUACGGGAGGCAGCAGUGGGGAAUAUUGGACAAUGGGGGCAACCCUGAUCCAGCCAUGCCGCGUGUGUGAAGAAGGCCUUUUGGUUGUAAAGCACUUUAAGCAGUGAAGAAGACCUAACGGUUAAUACCCGUUAGCGAUGACAUUAGCUGCAGAAUAAGCACCGGCUAACUCUGUGCCAGCAGCCGCGGUAAUACAGAGGGUGCAAGCGUUAAUCGGAAUUACUGGGCGUAAAGCGAGCGUAGGUGGCUUGAUAAGUCAGAUGUGAAAUCCCCGGGCUUAACCUGGGAACUGCAUCUGAUACUGUUGGGCUAGAGUAGGUGAGAGGGAGGUAGAAUUUCAGGUGUAGCGGUGAAAUGCGUAGAGAUCUGAAGGAAUACCGAUGGCGAAGGCAGCCUCCUGGCAUCAUACUGACACUGAGGUUCGAAAGCGUGGGUAGCAAACAGGAUUAGAUACCCUGGUAGUCCACGCCGUAAACGAUGUCUACUAGUCGUUGGGGAACUUGAUUCCUUAGUGACGCAGCUAACGCAAUAAGUAGACCGCCUGGGGAGUACGGCCGCAAGGUUAAAACUCAAAUGAGUUGACGGGGGCCCGCACAAGCGGUGGAGCAUGUGGUUUAAUUCGAUGCAACGCGAAGAACCUUACCUGGUCUUGACAUAUCUAGAAUCCUGCAGAGAUGCGGGAGUGCCUUCGGGAAUUAGAAUACAGGUGCUGCAUGGCUGUCGUCAGCUCGUGUCGUGAGAUGUUGGGUUAAGUCCCGCAACGAGCGCAACCCUUUUCCUUAGUUACCAGCGGUUUGGCCGGGGACUCUAAGGAUACUGCCAGUGACAAACUGGAGGAAGGCGGGGACGACGUCAAGUCAUCAUGGCCCUUACGACCAGGGCUACACACGUGCUACAAUGGUAGGUGCAGAGGGCAGCUACACAGCGAUGUGAUGCGAAUCUCAAAAAGCCUAUCGUAGUCCAGAUUGGAGUCUGCAACUCGACUCCAUGAAGUAGGAAUCGCUAGUAAUCGC
RNAcentral lists this ribosomal RNA (1261 nucleotides) under uncultured bacterium. Its description in RNAcentral is "bacterial SSU rRNA". It matches the Rfam family "Bacterial small subunit ribosomal RNA", at positions 83 to 1345 of the family's 1533-position model. The record is from RNAcentral.